GUUUUAUUCCUUGCGGUUACCAUUUCUAACUGGAUAAUGACACAUUACUCUUUGGGUCCUUUGCUGCUAAGCAAGCACACAGUGUUCGACACUUCCGCACUUUCAAGUUUCGAGCGGUGUUUCAGAUCAUUGCCCAAUCUUCCUCCCAAACCCCAAGUCACCCCAAUGGAAAACGAAGAUCCUCGAAACGGUGAGUCGUCUCGCCACCACCAAGUCACGAAGAAGCCCCGGCUCACUCAGUUCAUAACCGAAUCCGAAAUCCAAAAAGAGUUCGCACACCACCAGUCUGGCAUAGCCCGAAUCAAUAACGGGAGCUUCGGAAGCUGCCCCGGGUCGGUGCUUGCCGCCCAGAGGAAGUGGCAACUCAAAUUCCUUCAGCAACCGGACGAUUUCUACUUCAAUACGCUCCGCAAAGGGAUUCUCCACUCCCGGACACUGGUUAAAGACCUCAUUAAUGCCGAUGACGUGGACGAGGUCUCACUUGUCGAUAAUGCCACCACCGCCGCUGCCAUCGUCCUCCAGCAGAUAGGUCGGUCGUUCGCCGAUGGAAAAUUCCAUGAGAACGACAGUGUAUUGAUGCUUCACUGCGCUUAUGAAGCCGUAAAAAAAUCUAUACAAGCGUAUGUAACUCGUGCCGGCGGAUCAGUGAUAGAAGUGCAGCUUCCGUUUCCAGUUACCUCCGAUGAGGAAAUUAUCGCUGAGUUCAGGAAAGGAUUACAAAAAGGUAAGUCCAAUGGUAGAAAAGUUAGGUUAGCAAUAAUCGAUCACAUCACUUCAAUGCCAAGUGUCGUAACUCCAGUCCGGGAAUUGGUUAAAAUUUGUAGAGAAGAAGGCGUGGACCAAGUUUUUGUUGAUGCAGCUCACGCUAUGGGAAGUGUUAGGGUAGAUGUUAAAGAAAUUGGGGCUGAUUUCUACGCUAGCAAUUUACACAAAUGGUUUUUCUGCCCGCCAUCAGUUGCAUUUUUAUAUUGUAAAAGAACCAGUUCCUCCUCUUAUGUACAUCAUCCAGUGGUUUCACAUGAAUAUGGAAAUGGAUUGCCAAUAGAGAGUGCUUGGAUUGGGACAAGGGAUUACAGUUCUCAACUGGUAAUACCUUCUGCUUUGGAGUUUAUAAAUCGAUUUGAAGGGGGAGUUGAUGGAAUAAUGAAGAGGAACCAUGAGAAGGUUGUUGAGAUGGGGAAAAUGUUAGCAGAGUCGUGGGGGACAAAACUUGGGGCCUCUCCGGAGAUGUGUUCAAGCAUGAUUAUGGUUGGCUUGCCUUCAAGAUUGCAUGUAAUGAGUCAAGAUGAUGCUUUGAGGUUGAGGUCGCAUUUGCGCUCCAAUUAUGGGGUUGAGGUUCCAAUUCAUUAUCAGGCUUCUAGAGACGGUGAGGAGGGUUGGAAGGAUAAUGAUGGGCUCGUAACGGCCUAUGCAAGGAUUUCUCAUCAGGUCUAUAAUACGUGUGUGGAUUAUUACAAGCUAAGAAAUGCCAUAAAUCAACUCCUUGAUAAUCCACAGAUAGCACAAAAGCUUCUUGCAGAGUGAAGAGCAAGCUGAGCAGACAAUCUUCUAGCAAGUCGCCUGUCAGUUGAAAAGUAGUUUCGCCUUAGCUUUUGGCUUCGAGUGAGUUGUGAAUCGGUUGACAUGUCUGCUUCAUGUACAUGGUGAAGAAUAGGGCUGGUGUUAACAGUUGAAUUAUACGAGCAGUAGGGUGUGAUGACAUAGAGAUGGAGGUUCAAUGUUAACAUUCAUGUAACUUAUGGUUGUUAGUGAUUGCUACCUUAUCGAGUUCAGGUGAAAUGCCGAGGGAAAUCGACUUGCCAUGAGUUAGCUUACUGCGGGAGAAAUAGUUUCCUUUUUUUCCUUUAUUCUUAAAACAGUUUAUCAGUUGAUCGGACAGUGGCCAAAUGGGACCAAGCCUUCUCUUCCCCUGCUCUUUUGUUGACGCAGAACUAAUUGAUCACGAAAGGCUCCAACAAAUCCAUGUUUGCUUCUGGAGUUGGUGACAAAUGGACAGAAACCUAUACAAGCGGGAAGCGACGAUGAAGUUCAAAGUUUGGAAGUUGGAAGAAUUAGCAUGGCAACGGGUGAAAAUCACUCUAUUGAACUCUCAGCUCAAUUAAUACAUAUAUAUAAAUUAUAUUACAACCCAUUUAAUUCUAUACGUUUUAACUAAUAAUUUAUAUAAAAAUAUUUUUAAUGAAUAUUAUUUUAAUAGAAAUUUUACUCGUACUAAAUUCAGUACAUAUUUUAUUUAUUACAAAUGUGUAUUCAAGUAUAACAGCUAGAGAGUUAAAAAUUCAGAGCUAUUUUUCUCAAAAGACUCUUGAUAUGGAUAAAGACAUAGUUUUAACCAACAAGAGAUGAUUAGUUAGAAUACGGCAUCCAUAUAUUGCUUUCUGUUCGGGGGCAGGGGAGAGAGAGCAAGCUUAGUGAGUCAUGCAGUUGAGGCACUCAUGUGAAGUGCCACCAAAGAAGCAUAGAAACCAUCUCUGAUAUUGAUCAAAGAAUCGUGCUUUCCUUUCUCUACAAUAACUCCAUUUUUAACCACUGCAAUGACAUCUGCAUUCUUGAUUGUACUUAAUCGGUGGGCUACAACCACUGUGGUCCUGCUCACCAUUACUCUGUCUAAUGCAUCUUGAACCACUCUCUCAGAUUCUGCAUCUAGAGCACUUGUAGCUUCAUCUAACAGCAGUAUUUUUGGAUUUUUCACUAUAGCUCGAGCAAUGGCUACCCUUUGUUUUUGGCCUCCGGACAAUUGGAUUCCUCGCUCUCCCACGACAGUAUCGUAUCCCUGCAUUUAUAUUGCCAUAAAAAAUACAAGAUUCAGCAGCAACAAUCUCACUGUUAUCUAAAAUUUCUGCCUCGGUUGCAUUUCCACCUUUUCCAUAUGCAAUGUUGUCGCGGAUUGUAUCAUUAAACAAGAUCGGUUCUUGACUCACAAGCCCCAUCUGCUGUCUCAGCCACUUGAGUUGCAGCCUCCGAAUUUCGACACCAUCAAGUGUUAUAUUACCUGAAUCUGGAUCAUAAAAUCUUUGUAACAGUGAGAUGACAGUUGAUUUCCCACUUCCGCUUUCUCCCACUAGCGCCAGAGUCUGAAAAAAGAUCCACAUUUGUACAAUUUAUGAUUAGACAUUAAGCUAGAUAGUUGCUUCUUUUA
Molecule: RNA transcript, 3139 nt
Organism: Manihot esculenta (cassava)
Lineage: Eukaryota; Viridiplantae; Streptophyta; Magnoliopsida; Malpighiales; Euphorbiaceae
Gene name: L-cysteine desulfhydrase
Exons: 3
Source: RefSeq, a predicted model, not a curated record